Molecule: microRNA precursor, 96 nt
Organism: Gallus gallus (chicken)
Lineage: Eukaryota; Metazoa; Chordata; Aves; Galliformes; Phasianidae
Gene: gga-mir-30e
Product: gga-mir-30e
Source: Ensembl
CGGGGCAGUCAUCGCUGCUGUAAACAUCCUUGACUGGAAGCUGUGAGGUGUCAGCGGGGGCUUUCAGUCGGAUGUUUACAGCUGCAGGCUGCUGCA